This 397-nucleotide ribosomal RNA is filed under the name uncultured bacterium. RNAcentral's name for it is "partial 16S ribosomal RNA". It matches the Rfam family "Bacterial small subunit ribosomal RNA", at positions 523 to 918 of the family's 1533-position model. The record is from RNAcentral.
AUACGUAGGGAGCGAGCGUUGUCCGGAAUUACUGGGUGUAAAGGGAGCGUAGGCGGGAGUGCAAGUCAGAUGUGAAAUACAUGGGCUCAACCCAUGGGCUGCAUUUGAAACUGCAUUUCUUGAGUGAAGUAGAGGUAAGCGGAAUUCCUGGUGUAGCGGUGAAAUGCGUAGAUAUCAGGAGGAACACCGGUGGCGAAGGCGGCUUACUGGGCUUUUACUGACGCUGAGGCUCGAAAGCGUGGGGAGCAAACAGGAUUAGAUACCCUGGUAGUCCAUGCUGUAAACGAUGAUUACUAGGUGUGGGAGGUAUCGACCCCUUCCGUGCCGCAGUUAACACAAUAAGUAAUCCACCUGGGGAGUACGGCCGCAAGGUUGAAACUUAAAGGAAUUGACGGGG